Molecule: microRNA precursor, 180 nt
Filed under: Oryza brachyantha (malo sina)
Lineage: Eukaryota; Viridiplantae; Streptophyta; Magnoliopsida; Poales; Poaceae
Description: MIR812 microRNA precursor family
Rfam family: MIR812 microRNA precursor family
Source: Rfam by way of RNAcentral
UUUUCGUUUUUUCGUAUCCAACGUUUGACCAUUUGUCUUAUUUGAAAAAAAUUGUACAAAAACUUUAAAAAUUAGUCACGUUUAAAGUACUAUUUAUAUUAUAUUAUCUAGUAACAAUAAAAAUAUUAAUCAUAAAAAAAUUUUAAAUAAGACGAAUGGUCAAACGUUGGACACGGAAAA